GACGAACCGUGCAAACGUUAUUCGGAAUCACUGGGCAUAAAGGGCGCGUAGGCGGCUUGACAAGUCAGGGGUGAAAUCCGGCAGCUUAACUGUCGCAGUGCCUUUGAUACUGUCGAGCUCGAGGGAGGUAGGAGUCUGUGGAACUUCCGGUGGAGCGGUGAAAUGCGUUGAUAUCGGAAGGAACGCCGGUGGCGAAAGCGACGGACUGGAUCUCUUCUGACGCUGAGGCGCGAAAGCUAGGGGAGCAAACAGG
This 253-nucleotide ribosomal RNA is filed under the name uncultured bacterium. RNAcentral describes it as "partial 16S ribosomal RNA". It matches the Rfam family "Bacterial small subunit ribosomal RNA", at positions 524 to 776 of the family's 1533-position model. The record is from RNAcentral.